UUGUUAGCAUAUGCCACAUAUGCGUAUAAUACUAUUUCAAACAAGAAAAGUGCAUUUAACAUAUACUUGUUUGUUUAAAUAUAACUUUAAAUUCAAAACUGAUUGUAAAAAAACCGAAGGAAUUUUUUAAAAUGAAUAUGAAAUACAUUAUCUUACUUUCUUGUAUUAUAAUGUUGAUUAAAUUUCCUAUGAAUAAUUCAGCUGCAAAAUUGUCCGAAAUUAUGUCACGUAUACGUAGAGAAGAACCGUAUGAUAGUUCUAGUGAAUCUGAUAAAUCUGAUAGUCUCCUAGAUUCCCAUGAAAGUGUAACAAAUAUGGAUAACUAUAAAAAUUUAACAAAUAUGGAAUUCUCAUGAAUCUACUUUAUAUAAUAUUAAGUGUAACUGGGAAAAUAUGUAAUCAAAAUCACAGCAAAAUUAAUUGAAAAGCAAA
Nylanderia fulva is the source of this 432-nucleotide long non-coding RNA. RefSeq lists it as uncharacterized. NCBI's taxonomy places the organism in Eukaryota, Metazoa, Arthropoda, Insecta, Hymenoptera, Formicidae. The record is from RefSeq and is a predicted model, not a curated record.